Amblyraja radiata (thorny skate) is the source of this 140-nucleotide long non-coding RNA. RefSeq lists it as uncharacterized. NCBI's taxonomy places the organism in Eukaryota, Metazoa, Chordata, Chondrichthyes, Rajiformes, Rajidae. The transcript is spliced from 3 exons. The record is from RefSeq and is a predicted model, not a curated record.
UAAUCACCAAACAGUAAGCUUUCCUCCCACAUCCCAAAGACGUGCGGGUUUGAAAGUUAAUUGGCCACUGUAAAUUGCCUAGUGUGUAGAGUGAAUGCAAAAGUGAAAUAACAUACAACUAGUGUACAUGGACUCGGUGG